AAAGCGCGAUAUGAAAUGCGAAUUGCGUAGUUAGUGAAUCAUCAUGUUUUUGAACGCAUUAUGCACCAUUGAACUUUGUUUGAUGGUAUGCUUCUUUGAGCAUCAAUCAUGUACUCGACACUAGUCGGAUUAUGUGCACAUAGUUUUGCGACUAAGUGCACUUCUUAAGUAAAUAAUGCCCAAUGUUGAAGGUUAAACUUUACAGUGUGCAAAUUUUCUUUUAAACGAUCUCAAAUGAAGUAGGACCACCUGCCUAAUUUAA
Molecule: unclassified non-coding RNA, 262 nt
Filed under: uncultured fungus
Lineage: Eukaryota; Fungi
Description: sequence contains ITS1
Rfam family: 5.8S ribosomal RNA (bases 1-105)
Source: RNAcentral